UACGUAGGGUGCGAGCGUUGUCCGGAAUUAUUGGGCGUAAAGGGCUCGUAGGCGGUCUGUUGCGUCGGGAGUGAAAACUCAGGGCUUAACCCUGAGCCUGCUUCCGAUACGGGCAGACUAGAGGUAUGCAGGGGAGAACGGAAUUCCUGGUGUAGCGGUGAAAUGCGCAGAUAUCAGGAGGAACACCGGUGGCGAAGGCGGUUCUCUGGGCAUGUCCUGACGCUGAGGAGCGAA
Molecule: ribosomal RNA, 234 nt
Filed under: uncultured bacterium
Lineage: Bacteria
Description: partial 16S ribosomal RNA
Rfam family: Bacterial small subunit ribosomal RNA
Source: RNAcentral